AGUCAUACUCUCGUAUCAAAGAUUAAGCCAUGCAUGUGUAAGUAUAAAUAGUUAACUUUGAAACUGCGAAUGGCUCAUUAUAUCAGUUAUAGUUUAUUUGAUGAAGAAUACUAAUUGGAUAACCGUAGUAAUUCUAGAGCUAAUACAUGUAUAAAGUCUUGUAGGCUGCAUUUAUUAUUAAUGAAAACCAUAUUUUUCGGCCUAUUGGUGAGUAAUAAUAACUAAUCAUAUAGUAUGCUUAUGUAGAGAUGUGUCUUUCAAGUUUCUGCCCUAUCAUCUUUAGAUGGUAGUGUAUUGUACUACCAUCGCAGUAACGGGUAACGAAGAAUUUGGUUUCUAUUUCGGAGAGGGAGCCUGAGAGAUGGCUACCACAUCCAAGGAAGGCAGCAGGCGUGUAAAUUACCCCAUCCUGACACAGGGAGGUAGUGACAAUAAAUCACAAUGCUGAACAAUGUUUUGCAAUUGGAUUGAGAACAACGUACAAACCUUAUCGAUAAACAAUUGGAGGGCAAGUCUGGUGCCAGCAGCCGCGGUAAUUCCAUCUCCAAUACCGUAUAUUAUCUUUGUUGCAUUUCAAAAGCUCAGCUCA
RNAcentral lists this ribosomal RNA (589 nucleotides) under Blastocystis sp. Its description in RNAcentral is "SSU rRNA". It matches the Rfam family "Eukaryotic small subunit ribosomal RNA", at positions 21 to 637 of the family's 1831-position model. The record is from RNAcentral. Lineage: Eukaryota; Bigyra; Opalinata; Blastocystidae.